This 68-nucleotide transfer RNA is filed under the name Lilioceris yunnana. RNAcentral describes it as "tRNA-Val". The record is from RNAcentral. Lineage: Eukaryota; Metazoa; Arthropoda; Insecta; Coleoptera; Chrysomelidae.
CAGAUUAUAGCUUAUUUUAAGUAUUUUAUUUACAUUAAAAAGAUAAUUAUUAAAUUAAUUUAAUUUGA